CGGGACGUGGCGCAGUCUGGUAGCGCACCCGGCUGGGGGCCGGGCGGUCGCCGGUUCGAAUCCGGCCGUCCCGA
This 74-nucleotide transfer RNA is filed under the name Acidobacteriota bacterium. RNAcentral describes it as "tRNA-Pro". It matches the Rfam family "tRNA". From Rfam's summary of the family: Transfer RNA (tRNA) molecules are approximately 80 nucleotides in length. Their secondary structure includes four short double-helical elements and three loops (D, anti-codon, and T loops). RNAcentral also lists the same sequence under 1 other name. The record is from RNAcentral. Lineage: Bacteria; Pseudomonadati; Acidobacteriota.